GUUUGUCUCAGUGGGUAUUAAAGGUUGGGAGACUGCAGUGAUAAGUGUGUCUGAAUCUCUCUAUGGGGCUGUUUGUGAGGGGGUUCAAAUUCUGAAUGCUCAUCACACACCUCCCCUAUUCUAAAAUUAUUGAUGCACUGUUAUUGAUGGGAUUGUAUGGGUUGAUAGCCUUUCUUUAGUGUCUGUAGGGCUGUAUUCAGCCUUGUAGAUCCCCCUAGUGGUGGUUUUGUAAAGGCUGUCUUCAGUGCCUUAUUUCCUCAGAAAACAACUGGUAUUUCUCACAGCUUCUAGAUUUGGACAAAGGAAUGAUACAAGAUCAGCUCCAUCAAGUAUGAUGGUGAAGGAUGAAUAUGUGCAUGACUUUGAGGGACAGCCAUCGUUGUCCACUGAAGGACAUUCAAUUCAAACCAUCCAGCAUCCACCAAGUAAUCGUGCGUCGACAGAGACAUACAGCAC
This 456-nucleotide small RNA is filed under the name Pongo abelii (Sumatran orangutan). Its description in RNAcentral is "retained intron". Lineage: Eukaryota; Metazoa; Chordata; Mammalia; Primates; Hominidae. The record is from RNAcentral.